Molecule: transfer RNA, 74 nt
Filed under: Cavernulicola chilensis
Lineage: Eukaryota; Rhodophyta; Bangiophyceae; Cavernulicolales; Cavernulicolaceae
Description: tRNA-His
Rfam family: tRNA
About the family: Transfer RNA (tRNA) molecules are approximately 80 nucleotides in length.
Source: RNAcentral
GCGGAUAUAGCUUAAUAGGUAAGAGCAGCAGACUGUGGCUCUGAAGGUUACGAGUUCAAUUCUCGUUAUUCGCC